GACGAACGCUGGCGGCGUGCUUAACACAUGCAAGUCGAACGGUAAGGCCCUUCGGGGUACACGAGUGGCGAACGGGUGAGUAACACGUGGGUGAUCUGCCCUGCACUUCGGGAUAAGCCCGGGAAACUGGGGCUAAUACCGGAUAGGACCACUGCCUGCAUGGGUGGUGGGGGAAAGCUUUUGCGGUGUGGGAUGGGCCCGCGACCUAUCAGCUUGUUGGUGGGGUGAUGGCCUACCAAGGCGACGACGGGUAGCCGGCCUGAGAGGGUGACCGGCCACACUGGGACUGAGAUACGGCCCAGACUCCUACGGGAGGCAGCAGUGGGGAAUAUUGCACAAUGGGCGCAAGCCUGAUGCAGCGACGCCGCGUGAGGGAUGACGGCCUUCGGGUUGUAAACCUCUUUCAGCACCGACGAAGCGCAAGUGACGGUAGGUGCAGAAGAAGGACCGGCCAACUACGUGCCAGCCGCCGCAGUAA
Molecule: ribosomal RNA, 478 nt
Filed under: uncultured bacterium
Lineage: Bacteria
Description: partial 16S ribosomal RNA
Rfam family: Bacterial small subunit ribosomal RNA
Source: RNAcentral